RNAcentral lists this ribosomal RNA (394 nucleotides) under uncultured bacterium. Its description in RNAcentral is "partial 16S ribosomal RNA". It matches the Rfam family "Bacterial small subunit ribosomal RNA", at positions 354 to 760 of the family's 1533-position model. The record is from RNAcentral.
UGGGGGAAUACUGCGCAAUGGGCGGAAGCCUGACGCAGCAACGCCGCGUGCGGGAUGACGGCCUUCGGGUUGUAAACCGCUUUCAGCAGGGACGAAGCGUGAGUGACGGUACCUGCAGAAGAAGCACCGGCCAACUACGUGCCAGCAGCCGCGGUGAUACGUAGGGUGCGAGCGUUGUCCGGAAUUAUUGGGCGUAAAGAGCUCGUAGGUGGUUGAUCACGUCGAAAGUGAAAUCUCAGGGCUUAACCCUGAGCGUGCUUUCGAUACGGGUCGACUAGAGGAAGGUAGGGGAGAAUGGAAUUCCUGGUGGAGCGGUGGAAUGCGCAGAUAUCAGGAGGAACACCAGUGGCGAAGGCGGUUCUCUGGACCUUUCCUGACGCUGAGGAGCGAAAAG